This 45-nucleotide non-coding RNA is filed under the name Schistosoma margrebowiei. Lineage: Eukaryota; Metazoa; Platyhelminthes; Trematoda; Strigeidida; Schistosomatidae. The record is from RNAcentral.
AUCUAGUUGACGAGUCCUAAAUGGGACGAAACGCGCGUUCUGGAU